AUACUAGAGAUAUAAUUGGUACAAAGUAUUAUAAAGUAUUAAUCAGAUGUUUACUUUCGUUUCUGUUUACGACAAAAAAUAUCUAUGAAUAUGCUGAAUGUGUCUGGGAAAACAUGAAACGGACACCUGGAUUUAUUACCAGAACUACUAGUACCAUAUUAUUCAAAGGAAGGCUUGAGGAAUUGUCACCUGAAAGGUUUGGCAAAUUUGUAUUAUAAUAAAACCAGCAAUUAUUAUAGAUCAACUGAUCGGCUUUUGAAAUACCGAAUCUAUCAUCUCUGCUAUAAAGGUGCCACUUUCUUCUAUCUACAAAAUAGAAGCUUUUCAAUAUCGUACCAACUGCAUUUUUCUGCCUAUGUACUUUGAUUUUCACAACCAUCAACUUGAAGACAAUAUCGUCAAGAUUUUUACUUUGAAAGGAAGUGAGUCUAAUGAUUGAAGACCACGUACAUGAUCGUACAUGUACAUAGUGUUCAUAUUGAAUAAAGGAACACUUAGUUAAGUAGAUCCGCUUGGAUGACAACACGACAUGACGUUAUUGAUUACACUUACAUAUAUAUAACAAUUGUCGUAUUAAAGUACGGGUAAAAUAAAGCCAAUAUCAAGAAAUACGAGUUAUGUAAAUCAGCAAUCUGAUAUUUAUGCAAGUAAUGUAUAUAUGUUUAGGCUAUGAAGAUGCUGGAAUUGGUCGUCCAAAUCAACAGUGUAUUUCCUUGCUGGCAUAAAAAUUCAACCAAUUGCAGUAAAGCAUUUCAAAGAAUGAGAAAGAGAAGUUGACAAAACAAUAGAAAUUUAUUUAUAACUUUUAUGAACUAUGUACGAUUUUGAGCUUGACAUAUUGUGCAAACACCCUCCUGUCUUUGAAGUGUUGUUCAUUGACGUACAUCUCUUCCUUACUUAAUUAAUCAUCUUCCUUCAUGUUUUUGAACAUAUAAGGUAUCAACAAAGGACGCACCGGAGGACGUACAUCUUUCACUGGUUCAACAAAAUUAUGAAUUCAAUAUUGAUUUCAUAUUGCUCUCGGUCAUUAAUUUAGAAGAAUAAGUCAUAAUCAAAUAAACUCAUCAUAGAUACCGGGAUUGAAAUUUAUUUUUACAACAGACGCGCGUUUCGUCCAUAAAAAGACACCUUUACGAAGCGACUGUUGAUUUGUGACAUUAUUAAGUUGGCAGAACAUGAUAAUAUGAAACACCACAGCUGUCUUCUGUGGAACUCUGAUAUUACGUUAUGCUGUUUUAAUUAUUACUUGAUGAUAUUUCGUCUUUACAUAAUAUGGUUUUGACAUUACGUAAUGAUGUUUUGAUAUAACUCAAUAUGGUAUAGUAUUGACAUGAUAUAGUUUCGUCAUUACUUGAUGUUUUAUUUUAUUACUCGAUGUGGUUUCAACAUUUUUUAAAUGUGGUUGUUUCAUUAUCUUUGACGACUCACUCAAUUUUUUGUUUUUGUCUUUUUAAUGAGAACCUAUUGUUACUGAAAAGUAAUAGUGUUGAAAAAAAACCAUUAAAUUAAAUUACUAACAAACAAAAAUACUGUGAUUUGAUGUAAUAUCGCAAUCGAUAUUUUAAAGGGUUUCGAUUGAUUGAAACAUUCUUGUGGUAGUAAAGUAAAAUAUUCAAUAUAGUUAUGCGUUGGAACACAUAUAAAUCAACUACACUGAUACCGUAAUGAUCCUUAAAUCUUAUGAAUUCAGUUAUACGAUUCGUUGAACAAGAAUAUGUCUAUAUAUAAUAGGAGAAAGUUGUAGCUUAACAAAAAAUUAAACGCAACCAAAAGAUUUUUUACAGAAAACAUCACAGAUAACGUAAUGAUAGGUAUGAAUGCUCUUUUCUCAGUUUCUGUAGCUAUUCGUUGUAAAUAAAAAUGUAUAUCCCUCUCAGAUGGAAAACAACUCGUGUAAAUUGAUCUUUGAUAACACGGUCAAUAACAGAAGUAACAAGUAAACGAAGCACGUUGUGCAUAAACUGGAGAUCCUCGGUAAGAAUGCAAACAACCUUCUCUUUGACCGUUUUAACCAAUAUACUAGUAUAGAUAAUUUUCAUUUAGAUGUGUGAUAUUUCGAGGUUACGCGCUCUUCAGUUCCAGACCUUAUUUUUAGACAUAAAGAAGAAAAUUAGGUAAAUGUAGGUUUUAUCGGGAUACCCAUCAAAUAACGCGAAUAGCUAAAAGAUAUCACAAAAGACAGGUUUCUACACAGAAUGAAUCGUUCCAAGCCUAUAUAAGUUGUGAAUAGAUUAAACUGAAUCUGAUAGACAUCUGCAUGCAUCAACACUAAAUUUUACAAAUAUAAAGAUAAUAAGAUGUGACAUAAUAAAACCCCUCACAAGGUUCAUGACUUAUGUGUGUCGGUGUUUAACACAAGAGAAAAAUCUGAGUGGAAAUCAUGUAAGUUACAAUGCACUCUCUGAUAAACCUCAGUAAUUAAAAGAAAUUUAAGGUGUUCUAGAGUUCCUGGUCGUCGUGACUAACGAAUUACAAAUCUCAGACAAAAUCAUGAAAGUUACCAUGCAGUCUCGAACAAAACUCAGGAAUGAAUGACAAUCUGAGGUGUUUGAGUUUCCCGGUUUUCUUGAUUUAUUUUAACUGGAGUCUUAAUGUUCAAGUACUAGUAACAUCAACGGUGAAACAUAUCGAUAUACACCGUAUUCCAAAGUGCUUAGAUAAACUGCAUUCCUCUCGUUCAUCUACCAUGUCUUACUUGCUGUACACAUACAACAUAUCUGUUUGCUUUCUUUAAACAACUGCCCAUCACCAAUAAUGUAAUGUUAUUAUUUUAUAUUCAAAUACGAAGCAUAAUGCGACUGCAAAUUAAACAUAAUUAUUUUACCCUACGAUUGGUAAUUCUUGAUAUUAUCAUUACUGUUGAUUUCUUGAAGUUUAGUAAUAGAAUUUAGGAUAUUUUUGUACAAAUAGACAUAAUUUAUUUUCAAUUUUGUGUGUCUUUUUGUUUAUCUUAUAUCAAAUUGAUUUACAUAGCUUCAUUUGAUGUCGUAUAUAGACAAUAAUAGUGCAUUGACUUGACAUAUCAACGAUAUAAGGAUGAGGCUUAGAAACGGGGAAAUGCGAGGCUGUGCCGAGUCAGUGGGUCAGUGACUGUAUAUGACAUAGAAAUAUACAGUCAACGCAUUUUGACUGCUCAAAUAGAACGAGUGCAGUAUAAAUAGUGAUAAUCAUAUAUGUUUCUUGCACAGGAGCUUGCAUCUGAUUUUUUUUUAUAUUUAUAUACAUCAAUAAUAUAUACAGAUUUAUACUAAAAGUAAAGCGUAUACAACAGCCUGUGGAUCGUAACACAAUUUGUUUUAUUAGUCGUCAGAUUUAAAUGUAUAUAUCUAAACGAUGUUAAUGAUUGUGGAUUUAAAUUUACAUAUUUGUUAAACAAUCUUAAUUUAUUCAAUAAUGCUAGAUGAUAGAUAUUGCAGCUCAUAUACAUAUAAAUACACUUUAAUAUACAAGUGGAAUAAUUGGGACACAGACUUAUUUCUGAAAAGGAAUACAUGUAUUCUACUUAGUUUUCUGUUUAAGGCAAACACAUUUGUGAUUAUGCUUAACGUGUAUGGGGAAAAAUGAAACGGAC
Molecule: long non-coding RNA, 3571 nt
Filed under: Mytilus galloprovincialis (Mediterranean mussel)
Lineage: Eukaryota; Metazoa; Mollusca; Bivalvia; Mytilida; Mytilidae
Source: RNAcentral